GAUGAACGCUGGCGGCGUGCCUAAUACAUGCAAGUCGAGCGAACAGACGAGGAGCUUGCUCCUCUGACGUUAGCGGCGGACGGGUGAGUAACACGUGGAUAACCUACCUAUAAGACUGGGAUAACUUCGGGAAACCGGAUCUAAUACCGGAUAAUAUAUUGAACCGCAGGGUUCAAUAGUGAAAGACGGUUUUGCUGUCACUUAUAGAUGGAUCCGCGCCGGAUUAGCUAGUUGGUAAGGUAACGGCUUACCAAGGCAACGAUGCGUAGCCGACCUGAGAGGGUGAUCAGCCACACUGGAACUGAGACACGGUCCAGACUCCUACGGGAGGAAGCAGUAGGGAAUCUUGGGCAAUGGGCGAAAGCUUGACGGAGCAACGCCGCGUGGGUGAAGAAGGUCUUCGGAUCGUAAAACUCUGUUAUUGGGGAAGAACAAAUGUGUAAGUAAAUCUGCACGUCUUGACGGUACCUAAUCAGAAAGCAACGGCUAACUACGUG
RNAcentral lists this ribosomal RNA (497 nucleotides) under uncultured bacterium. RNAcentral's name for it is "partial 16S ribosomal RNA". It matches the Rfam family "Bacterial small subunit ribosomal RNA", at positions 28 to 507 of the family's 1533-position model. The record is from RNAcentral.